This 136-nucleotide ribosomal RNA is filed under the name uncultured eukaryote. Its description in RNAcentral is "partial 18S ribosomal RNA". It matches the Rfam family "Eukaryotic small subunit ribosomal RNA", at positions 1299 to 1458 of the family's 1831-position model. The record is from RNAcentral.
UGGUGGAGUGAUUUGUCUGGUUGAUUCCGUUAACGAACGAGACCUUUUCUGCCAAAUUGCCAACUCUUACUCUAGUAGAAGCUGGUAACUUGGAGGACAACAUGUGGAAAGCAUGGGGAAGAAAAAGGCGAAAACA